Molecule: transfer RNA, 73 nt
Filed under: Loxodonta africana (African savanna elephant)
Lineage: Eukaryota; Metazoa; Chordata; Mammalia; Proboscidea; Elephantidae
Rfam family: tRNA
About the family: Transfer RNA (tRNA) molecules are approximately 80 nucleotides in length. Their secondary structure includes four short double-helical elements and three loops (D, anti-codon, and T loops). Further hydrogen bonds mediate the characteristic L-shaped molecular structure. tRNAs have two regions of fundamental functional importance: the anti-codon, which is responsible for specific mRNA codon recognition, and the 3' end, to which the tRNAs corresponding amino acid is attached (by aminoacyl-tRNA synthetases). tRNAs cope with the degeneracy of the genetic code in two manners: having more than one tRNA (with a specific anti-codon) for a particular amino acid; and 'wobble' base-pairing, i.e. permitting non-standard base-pairing at the 3rd anti-codon position.
Source: Rfam by way of RNAcentral
GCAGUGAUGGUUCAGUGGUAGAAUUCUCACCUUCCACAGAUGGGAGACUCGGGUUCGAUUCCUGGCCAAUGCA